CUGGAUAAGCCUGGGAAACUGGGUCUAAUACCGGAUAGGAGCCAUUUUUAGUGUGAUGGUUGGAAAGUUUUUUCGGUGCAAGAUGAGCUCGCGGCCUAUCAGCUUGUUGGUGGGGUAAUGGCCUACCAAGGCGUCGACGGGUAGCCGGCCUGAGAGGGUGUACGGCCACAUUGGGACUGAGAUACGGCCCAG
RNAcentral lists this ribosomal RNA (192 nucleotides) under uncultured Actinomycetales bacterium. RNAcentral describes it as "partial 16S ribosomal RNA". It matches the Rfam family "Bacterial small subunit ribosomal RNA", at positions 139 to 334 of the family's 1533-position model. The record is from RNAcentral. Lineage: Bacteria; Bacillati; Actinomycetota; Actinomycetes; Actinomycetales.